UGGGGAAUCUUGGACAAUGGGCGCAAGCCUGAUCCAGCCAUGCCGCGUGGAUGAUGAAGGCCUUAGGGUUGUAAAAUCCUUUCGCCGAGGACGAUAAUGACGGUACUCGGAGAAGAAGCUCCGGCUAACUUCGUGCCAGCAGCCGCGGUAAUACGAAGGGGGCUAGCGUUGUUCGGAUUUACUGGGCGUAAAGCGCGUGUAGGCGGGUCGUUAAGUUGGGGGUGAAAUCCCGAGGCUCAACCUCGGAACUGCCUUCAAAACUGGCGACCUGGACCUAAGUAGAGGCAAGUGGAAUUGCGAGUGUAGAGGUGAAAUUCGUAGAUAUUCGCAGGAACACCAGUGGCGAAGGCGACUUGCUGGACUUAUGGUGACGCUGAGACGCGAAGGCGUGGGGAGCAAACAGGAUUAGAUACCCAAGUAGUCCCUGAGCGGGCUGGCAAGGCGCAU
This 447-nucleotide ribosomal RNA is filed under the name uncultured bacterium. RNAcentral's name for it is "bacterial SSU rRNA". It matches the Rfam family "Bacterial small subunit ribosomal RNA", at positions 355 to 825 of the family's 1533-position model. The record is from RNAcentral.